Molecule: ribosomal RNA, 258 nt
Filed under: uncultured prokaryote
Description: partial 16S ribosomal RNA
Rfam family: Bacterial small subunit ribosomal RNA
Source: RNAcentral
UACGUAGGGGACGAGCGUUGUCCGGAAUUACUGGGCGUAAAGGGCGCGCAGGCGGUAUAUCAAGUCAGCUGUCAAAGACUGGGGCUCAACCCUGGUAUGCGGUUGAAACUGAUAUGCUGGAGUGCUGUAGAGGCAAGUGGAAUUCCCAGUGUAGCGGUGAAAUGCGUAGAUAUUGGAAAGAACACCGGUGGCGAAGGCGACUUGCUGGGCAGCAACUGACGCUGAGGCGCGAAAGCCAGGGGAGCAAACGGGAUUAGA